This 3805-nucleotide unclassified non-coding RNA is filed under the name Hevea brasiliensis (rubber tree). The record is from RNAcentral. Lineage: Eukaryota; Viridiplantae; Streptophyta; Magnoliopsida; Malpighiales; Euphorbiaceae.
UUUUAAUUGAAACUAUUUAUGGCUAUUUCUUAUUUCUUUCAAGGAAGGAAACCAUUAAAAGAGACAAAUGUAUUUAAUAUUUAUGGAACAAAUCUGCGGAGGUGUAACUCAAUUACUUUCAACUUUAAUCCUCUACUCCUAUGCCUAAGCAUCUAAUAAUAAGCUGAAAGAGGACAUAUUUUGCCAUUAAACUAACCAACCAUCAUUGGAGGUGGCAUGGCAGCCCAAAAUCACAAAAUUAUACAUGAAACAGAAAUACUAAUGCAAAUCAAAUUUCAGGAAUUUCAAAUUGGGGGCUCACGAUAACUGAAGUUCAAAAGAUUUAACAUCUUACCUCACUGUACAAGUCCAACAAUUACUUUAUCAUCAACAGGUAUCGCCCUUAUGCGACUCAUUCUCUCCAGAUGUUGUAGUUGGACUGAGCUCUCUUUUUUUGCCACUCUUCUUUGCUGCGCAUCGAUGUUGCACUGUCCUCGCAUUUAGUUGAGUCCUCACCAUGCAUUGAAGUUGGACACGGCUCGGAAGCUUCAUGCAACUCCAUGUGGUCAGCACUACUAAUUCUUUCUGAAGUUUCAGGUUCCCCAUUUUCAGAUGCAGAAGCUUCCUGAGAACCAGUGCUUGCUAAUAAUUCAGUGGGCUGCACAUCAGUAUGUCCAGGACACUUGGAGGCAGAAGGAAUAUUUUCUCUGACAGAAAGGUCACUGCCAGAGGUACUAGAUGUCACCCAUGUAAACUUCAAGUUGUUGCCUUGCCAACAACUGCCAUUUAAAAACGCCCUCUCAGCUGAACGGCGAGUUGUGAAAGUCAAGCGGGCUGAGCAAUUUUUUGUCGCCUCUGACCCACCAGCAUCAAUAUCUUCUAGUUCAACAGCAGCAAGAUCGCCAUAUGAUGAGAAGAAUUCCUUCAAGGCAUCAACAUUUGCCAAACCAGGUGGUAACGGAGGAACUAUUUUAAAAGCUGUGGGCCGAUUAUCCAACUUAUAUCUGUUCAUCACAAAGACUGCCCCUGCAGGUGCCACUGGAUAAAUUGGCUGCUUUGAGCCUGUAGGUUCAUGCUGCAAAAAUGACAUGCUUGUUUUGGGACUGGAUGAUAUGAGGUUUUCCACUGAUUUAUUCUUAUCCACCAUCAUCUCAGUAUGUGGAGAUGACACACCAGCAAUAGGGUCAAAGGACCUUGGAGUAGUAGCUUUUGCAACAUCAGUUGCUAUUCCUACUCUCUGUCUCUUAGAAGCAGGCUCAGCCACUACCUCACCUUUAACUCCUGUAGCUUGUUUCUCGAGUUUGUCCAAUUGGCGCCGGAAGUCAUUUCGCUUCUGGUCCAGCAACUCCUGCUUCUUGCGGAGCUCAUCCCUCAAUUGUUCCAGCUCUAGCUUCUUCUGCACAGGAGGAGGAGCCUUGGGACCAUUUAUAAUAGGCUUAGGAUGAUCAGUAGGAGGAAGAGACACAUCAGAUGGGGGGACCAUAGUACCCUUAGAAGCAGCAGACUGAAGAUUAUCUUUUCCUCUAUUACCAAUUAAAGGUUGGGGUGGAACUGAACCAGCUGGCACACCACAGGGAGUUACAGAUGCACCACUGCUACUGUUCAUGCCAUCAUCAGGUAUGCUGUCACGAUUAGCCCACCAUAGUUUGAUAAAGCGAUUGCCCAUUACAGCAUCAGGUGCUCUUAAAGCAGCUUCUGCCUCUUCCCUUUUUGAGAACUGAACAAAAGCUCGUUCGCUAUUCAAUGGGAUAUAAAUGUCAACAACCUCCCCAAAUUUUUGAAAAUGAGAAAGAAGAGCAUCCCUCUUGUUGUUUUUUUGUGGAAUGCCACUGACAAAUAGUGUACGUAGUGCCUUUUGAGAAGAUUUCCUUAUAUUACGCAUGGUAUCACUCUGUAUCCUGGCUGCUGAAUCAAUAGUUCUGGGGCCAACAUCGUCAGUAAUCAUUCGCUUUCCUUGACAAGUAGUACCUUGAAUAUUGGCUAAUGCUUCAUGAUCUUCUUUUGCUUCAUUAUUCCCAUGAUCUGAGGUAUUCAUAAUCAAAUCCGUUUUCUCUUUCAUAUCUAAUCUAUUCUUCACACUACCAACUCUACCCCAAACGGAUGAACCUGUACUCUGUGAACCAACAGGGAUCCCAGUGCUUCUAAUUGAACAUUCAUUGUCAGUAGUAUCACGCAACCUGACAUUAUGACGGUCAGAAGGAUCAACACUCAUGAAGGAUUCAUUUUCAUCAUUUUUGGAUGAAUUUAGUGCUAAGAGUGCACUUGAUGUUUCAGGACCAUUGUUAUUCCACAGUGGUUGGUCUGGAUCAUACAAGUCUGCUCCACUCACACUAGCAGAGCCAGAGUAUCCACCAUUCAAGCCCAUACCAUCAUCAACCAUUCCAGGCUUGCUAUUUCUGCUGUGUAGUCCUUUGCUAUUCAUCAAUGUGGCUGAAGGAGCACCAACCGAUAGCAAAGCCCCAGGUCCAGCAGGUGUUCCCACUAGUGGUGCAUUUGCAAGUGAAACAGGGAGAUUGAACUGUGAAAGGCUCUGAACAUCUUCGACAACAAUACGAUUGACACCAUGCUCCAUUGGACACAUGUCCCCUCUUAGACAAAAUCCACGCUCCUCAAAGUCUCUGCACCGCUGGCGGGGAAUGCCCAUGUUCAAUGAAGAAUUUACUGCCGGUCUGGGUGCUCCUUGCAAACCAAUGGAAUGGAGUGCGUCAAGGCCACCAUUGGGAAUUCCUGGAAACAAUCCAAAUGCAUUCCAGGAUGCAUUUUGUGCAUUUGGAACAUUUGGCAAUCCCCUUCCUGCAAAGAGACCAGGUGUAAUGGAUCCUUGCUGAACCAUUUGAGAAGCAAUAUCAACUGAGCUGAACCUAGAAUCACGCUGGUUCCAAGAACCAGGGUCCCUUCCUCUUCCUCUACCAGGACCAUGCUCUCCGGAAAAUGUUUGGUUUGACCUUAUUCUUUGAUUCAAAUCCAUACCCACUCGGGGUAAUGAUGCCAUUCCAGGCCGUCUCUUUUCAAAUUUUGAGGUGAAGUCUUUAUCCAGAGGAACAGCGUUAUAGUUUUUCCAGGUUUCACUCCCUUGAGAUUCAUUCUCCCUGAAAGGAUGCCCAUUUUCAAAUGGUUUGUAGUGCUUCCUGUAUGACCUUGUAAAAACAGGUUCCAGUGAACCUCUCUCCAAAGAUUGAGAACGUGUCUCUCUUCUUCGAUGUUUAUGAUUGCGAUCAUCAUCAUCCUCAUCACUGACUUCCUUCUCCUCAGGAUCACUAGAGCAAUCAGGAGGAGAAAGACCUCCUGACUUUAGUGAUGAAACCUUGAGCUCCAUCAAGAACUCCUGGAAUCAGGUCAUCAAACGUUUCAAAACUCUUGUUAGAUGCGGCAACAAAAUCAUCUUGAUUUCCCAGAGUCUAGCAAUAGGAGAAGAGCCUUGAUUUCCAGAGUAUAGGAGAACCUGGAAUCAGGUCGUCAAAUGUUUCAAACUCUUGCUAGAUGCGGCAACAAAAUCACCUUCAUUUCUCAGUGUCUAGCAAUAGGAGAAGAGCCAGAAAUUGUAGCAGGAUUGAGCAAAGAAAGGCUCUGAGAGUAUGACUGAAUUAGGAAUUCAAUCGUACAGCUCAUGGUGCAAUGGAGAAAAGGGCAAUAAAGCGGCAAUGGAAGGGCAUUUGAGGGAGAGAGGAGGGGACAGGAUCGCAGAAAAGCAAGAAUCGAGGGAGGGAUUGUCGAGAGAGAAAGAGAAGGAAGGAUUUUUGUGAGAGUGGGAUUUGUUGUUUGGCUUGCAGAGAAAGGGGUUGUUUGGCUUGCAGAGAAAGGGGUUGUUUGGCUUGCAGAGAAAGGG